GGUUGUAGCUCAGUGGUAGAGUGCUUGCCUAGAAUGUGUGAGGCACUGGGUUCAAUCCCAGGCACCA
RNAcentral lists this transfer RNA (67 nucleotides) under Marmota monax (woodchuck). RNAcentral's name for it is "tRNA.Ser". The record is from RNAcentral. Lineage: Eukaryota; Metazoa; Chordata; Mammalia; Rodentia; Sciuridae.